RNAcentral lists this ribosomal RNA (433 nucleotides) under uncultured Methanolinea sp. Its description in RNAcentral is "bacterial SSU rRNA". It matches the Rfam family "Archaeal small subunit ribosomal RNA", at positions 906 to 1338 of the family's 1478-position model. The record is from RNAcentral. Lineage: Archaea; Methanobacteriati; Methanobacteriota; Methanomicrobia; Methanomicrobiales; Methanoregulaceae.
UUGGACUCAACGCCGGGCAGCUCACCGGAUAAGACAGCUGGAUGAUAGCCGGGCUGAAGACUCUGCUUGACUAGCUGAGAGGAGGUGCAUGGCCGUCGUCAGUUCGUACUGUGAAGCAUCCUGUUAAGUCAGGCAACGAGCGAGACCCACGCCAACAGUUGCCAGCAUGUCCUCCGGGAUGAUGGGGACACUGUUGGGACCGCCUCUGCUAAAGAGGAGGAAGGAAUGGGCAACGGUAGGUCAGCAUGCCCCGAAUUAUCCGGGCUACACGCGGGCUACAAUGGUCAGGACAAUGGGUAUCAACACCGAAAGGUGAAGGCAAUCUCCUAAACCUGUCCUUAGUUCGGAUUGUGGGCUGCAACUCGCCCACAUGAAGCUGGAAUCUGUAGUAAUCGCGUCUCAACAUGGCGCGGUGAAUAUGUCCCUGCUCCUU